RNAcentral lists this long non-coding RNA (1265 nucleotides) under Heterocephalus glaber (naked mole-rat). RNAcentral's name for it is "lncRNA (ENSHGLG00000025759.2)". The record is from RNAcentral. Lineage: Eukaryota; Metazoa; Chordata; Mammalia; Rodentia; Bathyergidae.
UUUAACCCAUCCAGACUUCCUACAGGCACAGAGCAGCCUAGAAGCAGAACAUGCUGUGCUGACCUCUCCAGGUGGCCAGAGGGCAGUGGGUUUGCAUCACCACAUUUGCCUAACAAUUGACAUUCUACUUGGCACUGUUCGCUUGCUGACUGAGAACCAACAAAGCCAGAUAUCCUAGCACUGCAAGCAGCACACCAGCCUCCUGAAGGAAGCCAGGGCAGUAAGGCUACAAAUAGCUGCCCAUGAAAACACUGGGGUGAAACUGCCAGGGAGAAGAAAACAACUACCCAGAAGCACCCCAAGGACCACUGGGGACGGAAACAGGGAGAGCAAGCUGAGUGGCCAAGACAUUCAUAUGAAGACUGUGACCUAUGGCCCAGCUAAUAAGAGGACCUCUACCCGCCUCAUUGUGAUGUCCAUGACCCUUCUAUUCUAAGAGGAGAGGACCUCUUGAGAGAGAAGAUUCUGGAAUAACUACAGAUAGAAUGGCAACAUUUAACGAGGAUUGUUGAUGCCAAUCAGCAAAAAUCAGGAAGUUGGGAGGAGGAGGAGGGUAAAGGAGAAGGUUGAGUCCAAUCUGGCUCACAGGUAGACAAACUUAGCACACCACUGGAAAGGUAAAACGGAAGCUCCAGAGAAAGAUAUCUGGAGACACGGCCAUUAGAGUCACCUACAGAGAAAUGACAGCUACAACAACAGGACUGAGAAGCUGGCAACUGAUAAAGGCAGAAUUUGAACCAAGGGCCAAGAACACCUUUCUCACUAGACCAGUGCUUCUUAAACUUGAAUGCACAUAGGAAUCACUGGAGAGUCUUAUUGAGAUGCAGAUUAUCAUCCCAUAUGACAUGUCCAAAGGUUCUGUUUUUUGGAAUUCCAAAUUCAUCAGAAGGAAGAUUUUGUUUCUCUGUUCACUGCAACAGCCCAGAUGCCCAACACUGUCUUCAUGGGUAGUUUCUGUACUAAAGCAAUCAACAGUGUGGGACUGCAAAACCUUGUAAUCUUAGAAUUCUUGUAGCCCUGACUGCAAUUAAAUGUGAGCUAAUGAUUAAGAAGCUUGUUAGUUCUGGGAAGCUAGAUAAAAUUUGUAACAGAUACAGAGUUUUAAAGGUAAAUUACUCAAGUCCUUGUUUGCCCGGAGAUCGGACGUUCCCGGACCCACUAUCAGUACGUGACAGUCGUGACCAUUAGUGUGUGUGUGUCUGCCGACCAUCAUUCCGUGACAGUCGUGACCAUUAGUGUGUGUGUGUGCCGACCAUCAGAACGUG